GUCGAGCGGCAGCGGGAGGUGCUUGCACCUCGCCGGCGAGCGGCGGACGGGUGAGUAAUGCAUAGGAAUCUGCCCGGUAGUGGGGGAUAACCUGGGGAAACUCAGGCUAAUACCGCAUACGUCCUACGGGAGAAAGCAGGGGAUCUUCGGACCUUGCGCUAUCGGAUGAGCCUAUGCCGGAUUAGCUAGUUGGUAGGGUAAUGGCCUACCAAGGCGACGAUCCGUAGCUGGUCUGAGAGGAUGAUCAGCCACACUGGGACUGAGACACGGCCCAGACUCCUACGGGAGGCAGCAGUGGGGAAUAUUGGACAAUGGGCGAAAGCCUGAUCCAGCCAUGCCGCGUGUGUGAAGAAGGCUUUCGGGUUGUAAAGCACUUUCAGUGGGGAAGAAAGCCUGUCGGCUAAUACCCGGCAGGAACGACAUCACCCACAGAAGAAGCACCGGCUAACUCCGUGCCAGCAGCCGCGGUAAUACGGAGGGUGCGAGCGUUAAUCGGAAUUACUGGGCGUAAAGCGCGCGUAGGCGGCGUGAUAAGCCGGUUGUGAAAGCCCCGGGCUCAACCUGGGAACGGCAUCCGGAACUGUCAGGCUAGAGUGCAGGAGAGGAAGGUAGAAUUCCCGGUGUAGCGGUGAAAUGCGUAGAGAUCGGGAGGAAUACCAGUGGCGAAGGCGGCCUUCUGGACUGACACUGACGCUGAGGUGCGAAAGCGUGGGUAGCAAACAGGAUUAGAUACCCUGGUAGUCCACGCCGUAAACGAUGUCGACUAGCCCUUGGGAGCCUCGAGUUCUUAGUGGCGCAGUUAACGCGAUAAGUCGACCGCCUGGGGAGUACGGCCGCAAGGUUAAAACUCAAAUGAAUUGACGGGGGCCCGCACAAGCGGUGGAGCAUGUGGUUUAAUUCGAUGCAACGCGAAGAACCUUACCUACCCUUGACAUCCUCGGAAUCCGCCAGAGAUGGCGGAGUGCCUUCGGGAGCCGAGUGACAGGUGCUGCAUGGCUGUCGUCAGCUCGUGUUGUGAAAUGUUUGGGUUAAGUCCCGUAACGAGCGCAACCCUUGUCCCUAUUUGCCAGCGAUUCGGUCGGGAACUCUUGGGGAGACUGCCGGUGACAAACCCGAAGA
RNAcentral lists this ribosomal RNA (1119 nucleotides) under Modicisalibacter luteus. RNAcentral's name for it is "bacterial SSU rRNA". It matches the Rfam family "Bacterial small subunit ribosomal RNA", at positions 61 to 1170 of the family's 1533-position model. The record is from RNAcentral. Lineage: Bacteria; Pseudomonadati; Pseudomonadota; Gammaproteobacteria; Oceanospirillales; Halomonadaceae.